Molecule: transfer RNA, 73 nt
Filed under: Chloroflexota bacterium
Lineage: Bacteria; Bacillati; Chloroflexota
Description: tRNA-Lys
Rfam family: tRNA
About the family: Transfer RNA (tRNA) molecules are approximately 80 nucleotides in length.
Source: RNAcentral
GGGAGCGUAGCUCAAUUGGCAGAGCAAGUGACUCUUAAUCACUAGGUUCAGGGUUCGAUUCCCUGCGCUCUCA